This 65-nucleotide transfer RNA is filed under the name Kaloula sp. East Luzon. Its description in RNAcentral is "tRNA-Trp". The record is from RNAcentral. Lineage: Eukaryota; Metazoa; Chordata; Amphibia; Anura; Microhylidae.
AAACUUAGGAUAACCAAACCAAGAGCCUUCAAAGCCCCGAAUAGAAGUUAAACCCUUCUAGUUUC